Molecule: ribosomal RNA, 505 nt
Filed under: uncultured bacterium
Lineage: Bacteria
Description: partial 16S ribosomal RNA
Rfam family: Bacterial small subunit ribosomal RNA
Source: RNAcentral
AUUGAACGCUGGCGGCAGGCCUAACACAUGCAAGUCGAACGGCAGCACAGAAGAGCUUGCUCUUUGGGUGGCGAGUGGCGGACGGGUGAGUAAUGUCUGGGAAACUGCCCGAUGGAGGGGGAUAACUACUGGAAACGGUAGCUAAUACCGCAUAACGUCGCAAGACCAAAGUGGGGGACCUUCGGGCCUCACACCAUCGGAUGUGCCCAGAUGGGAUUAGCUAGUAGGUGGGGUAAUGGCUCACCUAGGCGACGAUCCCUAGCUGGUCUGAGAGGAUGACCAGCCACACUGGAACUGAGAUACGGUCCAGACUCCUACGGGAGGCAGCAGUGGGGAAUAUUGCACAAUGGGCGCAAGCCUGAUGCAGCCAUGCCGCGUGUAUGAAGAAGGCCUUCGGGUUGUAAGUACUUUCAGCGGGGAGGAAGGCGGUGAGGUUAAUAACCUCGCCGAUUGACGUUACCCGCAGAAGAAGCACCGGCUAACUCCGUGCCAGCAGCCGCCGUAA